GAGAGAGCACGCAGCACGCAGGAGAGCCGAGGCACUAUGGAAACACUCUGCUCCCUCCCGGCUGCCUGCCGCUGCUCCGAGUUCAGCCCGGAGAACUUCCCUGCACUGCUGGAGGUUGAUGAGGAGGGAUUGCCGUGACCCCGUGCCUGUGACAGUCGUUUCAGCAGAAUGUUUGCAAGACUGCUGCUUGCACCAGAACUGAGCGCUCCCUGUGAUGUGUGUGGUGGAGGUGUGGGUUUGAAGCCCAGCAAGGCACGAGCUGUGCAGGGCUCUCAUUUGGAGCUCUGCUUCGUUCCCUGAGUGUGGCUCCAGGCUGUGCCCAGAGCAUCCCCAGGGCUGCAGCCCCAAUCUGGGCAGGGCUGUGCUGUGCAGGAGGACAUUGCGUCAGCUGCUCAGCCUGCAGAGUGGAGUUGGAGUGUGGGUCUGAUUGCUGCCUGUGAUACUCAUACAAACAAAGGAGGGGAGAGGAUCUGUGCCGGCCAGCAGAUAAUGCUGUCACAUGGAUAGGGGAAACAAGCCGUGAAUGUGUGGGCUAGAAAUUAGGCCAUUGUGCUCCAUGAUAUCAGAGAAGGAUCUGAAACAGCUUUCCAGGAAGAGGAAAGAGGAUGAGAGAAGGCCCAGAGGACAGAGCUUGGAAAAAUGACUUCAGAAGUGGCCCCUGGCUGCAGCAGCCCUGGCCCUGAGGACAGGGAGAGCAGCCCCACAACCCCAUUGUGGAGUUGGGCUUUCACCCCAUGCCAGGAGCCCUGUGUCCCACUUCCCCCUUCCUGCCCUUCCAUGCCUUGGGCCGCUUGUUUUCUUCAAGCCCUUUCCUCAUGCGCUGCCCUGGGUCCCACUGCCAUGGAUCCCAGCACCAUAGGUCCCAUCAUCCUGCUUCCCAUGGCCCUGGAUCCCACCACCCUGGGUCCCAGCACCCUUCUUCCCACUAUGCUGGGUCCCAUCACUCUGGAUCCCAUCACCCUGGGUCCCACUGCCAUGGGUCCCAUCACCAUAGGUCCCAUCAUCCUUCUUCCUACCACCAUGGAUCCCAAUGCCACAGGUCCUACCUCACUGUGCCCCACCACUCUGUGCCCCACCACUCUAUGUCCCAUCACUCUGGAUCCCACUGCCAUGGGUCCCAUCACCAUAGGUCCCAUCACUCUG
Gallus gallus (chicken) is the source of this 1143-nucleotide long non-coding RNA. The record is from Ensembl. NCBI's taxonomy places the organism in Eukaryota, Metazoa, Chordata, Aves, Galliformes, Phasianidae.